ACUAUUGAACUCGCAGCUACUGGGAAAAGAAUGCAGGUUAGAGAACGACUCCAGAGAGUCCAGGCUCGGAGAUUCCCCAGGAGGGCUCGGGUCGCUGCAACUGCUGCUGAGGCCGCCGGCGCUGCUGGGCUCUUCGGAGCCGGCGGCGGUCAGUUCUGCUUGGCAGGUGCCGGCGAGAUCCGGGCGGGCUCCCGCGUCUCCGGCGGUACCCAACUCAUGACCCACUCCGGCCACGGCUGUCUCCGGGGAGGCGGUCACCUUGUACUGCCCUCUCAGAGGCGCCUCGGCGGCAGCAGGACUCUCCAAACCACUGUCCUUCAAGUCCAAACCCGCGGAGGAGCUGCAGGGUCCGGGAACCUCAGGAGAGCCCGCGGGAGAAGCCGAGUCCGGGAGGCUCCUCCUGGCGGCCGCCGCCCCCAGCCCAUUCCCGCCGCUGGUCUCCGCCGCCCAUACCCCAGGACCAUCACCAGCGGCGAGCCUGGUCUCCUGUAGCCCUUCCUGCGAAGAACCUGUCCCUGACGCUGGCCCGGCCGCCACCCCGUGUUCUAGCGGCUGCAGGCUCUCGGGGCUGCUCUCCAUACCGGGCCGCCCGCCCCCAGCUCUAUGGAGACCGCGGCCACUUCUCCGCAGCCAGCGCCUUGGACGCCAUGACAGCUGUAUUGGCAGCAACAGCGCCCUGGCGCGGCCUCGGUCAGGCACGUCACCGGGGAGAGUACUAAGAACGCGCGCGGGCGCGCGCUACCGCUCUGUCCGUGCGCUCUGAGCUUGCCUCCGCCUGACUGCGCGCUGAGAGGCGAAGGCGAACCACUCAGCAGCCGCCCACGUGGCCCAGCCCUUUCCGUGCGUCCGACCGAGCUCGCUCUCGGAAGGCCGGGCGUGGAGGGCGUGGCUAGGAGGGCGCGGCCGGGGGGCGCGCCCCCGCGGCUCAGCUCCAGUAGGAAAACAUCCUCUCACUAUGUGGCCGGAAGUUGAACUCCCGGGCAGCUCCCUUGUGUGCGGCUUCUUUAAAGGGAAGGCAGGAGGCGGACAGCUUGGCUGUGACCCUUUAGCGCUGGGUCGCGUGUGGCCCACCCUCGGCCUGAGGCAUUGUUGGGUGGUUGGAGGUGGUUGUAGUAUUUGGAAAAGAACUUGUCCCUGAAGGGCUCAGGGGACUUGGUUUCUCAGCUCCUAAUAUGGAAAAUUAAGGCAUUUCUUACGAGAUGCAGAUUUUAAAGCAGGCAUAUCUACUCGACGGCUUUGGAUUACUGCACUGCACAAAUUCCAGUCUCUGUCGGUUUUGGCUGAGAAGAGCUGUGCUUCUCACCAGCUACUGGUGAGACAUUCGCCCUACAGGAAAGGGUCGGUAUGAUUGUGGACAUUGACAUGCGUAGCAAAAGAAAGUGGCUAAUUUGCGCCAAUAAUAAUAAAUUAGCUUGUAUUUGAAUUAGCCAAGUCUUUGCGGUUUUGCUAACUUGGCUUCACUUUGCAUGGAGUGGGAAGCGCCUGCUUCUGAAAAGGUGACUUUUUUCCUAAUUAGAAUGGACUCCUCUUAAGGCCAUGCAGUUUUCAAAGAAGAAAGACAAGCUGGACGUUUUGUUAGUAACAAAAUGUAGCUGAAGCAGAGAGAGAAGGCAGCAUACGUCAGCAUUUUCUUCUCUGCACUUACAAGAAAGAUCAAAGACUUUAAGACUUUCACUGUUUCUUCUACCGCUAUCUACUACGAGCUUCAAAGAGGAACCAGGAGUAUGGGAGGAGCAUGAAAGUGGACAAGGAACGUGACCAUUGAAGCACAGCACCACAGGGAGGGAUUUAGGCCCCAGGACUGCAGGCAGGCCUGGAUAAUAUCCAGCCUUCCACAAGAAGCUGGUGGAGCAGUGUUCCCUGACUCCUCCAAGGAAAGGAGACUCCCUUUCACGGUCUGCUAAGUAACGGGUGCCUUCCCAGACACUGGCGUUACCGCUUGACCAAGGAGCCCUCAAGCGGCCCUUACGCGGGCGUGACCGAAGGCUCACCUCUUGUCUUCUAGGUCACUUCUCACAAUGUCCCUUCAGCACCUGACCCUAUACCCGCUGGUUAUUCCUAGGUUAUAUUAGUAAUGCAACAAAGAGUAAUAUUAAAAGCUAAUGAUUAAUCAUGUUUAUAAUAAUGAUUGAUAAUUGUCCAUGAUCAUCUCUAUAUCUAAUUUGUAUUAUGACUAUUCUUAUUCUAACUAUUUUCUUUAUUAUACUGAAACAGUUUGUGCCUUCAGUCUCUUGCCUCGGCACCUAGGUAAUCCUCCACCCACAUCCUACUCUUGGACAACAGGAAAAUUAGAAAAGAUAAUGGAGAGCUUUUUCAGAAUGUUGAAUUUAGGAGUUGUGUGUGCUUUUGAUCUCCAUGUCAAUCCAUAAACAAUAAAUCCUGUUCUUAAAUUUGA
Molecule: long non-coding RNA, 2395 nt
Filed under: Homo sapiens (human)
Lineage: Eukaryota; Metazoa; Chordata; Mammalia; Primates; Hominidae
Description: HSALNT0381516
Source: RNAcentral